CCAUGUCGCCAUGUAUCCAUAAAACACGAGAAUGUUGCACCGCUGCCACACCUGCCGCCGGUGGUAAAUACGGAAAACAAUCGGCAAUUAAAAACAUUGACUGGAAGUGGUCACAUCACAUCCGAUUGCUUCUUAUCCGAUUCUGCAUGGUCGACUGGGGUAGGUAAAAUUAGCCGAGGGAAGUGAUGCUCGCUGGGCCUGGAAGCCCGAGCUGGAAGUGGCUGGCUCGGAACCAUUAGAGAUGUCG
Molecule: long non-coding RNA, 247 nt
Filed under: Selaginella moellendorffii
Lineage: Eukaryota; Viridiplantae; Streptophyta; Lycopodiopsida; Selaginellales; Selaginellaceae
Description: long non-coding RNA (SMOE_LNC001254)
Source: RNAcentral